AUCCAAGAGCCUUCACUCCUCUUCCCUGAAAAUGAACAAGGGAGCCUGGGGUCACCCCCGUCCUUUGGGCAGUGGGGCUGGAAAGCAGGAGUAAAGAAGAGAAAGGAAUAAAAGAAGAAAAGCCCUAUAAUCCUAUCAUCCUUCUUCUCAGAUGCAGGCUUGUGGUCCCUUCCGACCCUGUGGAUGCAGAAGGAAGAGGCAAGGUCCUUUCUGUAUAUGGAUGUCUAGAGUUGUCAUAAUGAUGUGGUGAAGCAAGUUUAAGCUGCGUGUUUGAUUGAGAAGGGAUACUUUUUUCUCAUCAUUAAUCACAAAUUAAAGCCA
Molecule: non-coding RNA, 321 nt
Organism: Odocoileus virginianus texanus
Lineage: Eukaryota; Metazoa; Chordata; Mammalia; Artiodactyla; Cervidae
Source: RefSeq, a predicted model, not a curated record